UUACGGCCACACCACGUUGAAGCCCAGGUUCCCGUACGAUCACCGAAGUUAAACAACAUGGAGCCUGGUCAGUACUUAGACGGGUGACUACUUGGGAAUACCAGGUGCUGUAA
Non-coding RNA from Acanthosepion pharaonis, 113 nucleotides. Lineage: Eukaryota; Metazoa; Mollusca; Cephalopoda; Sepiida; Sepiidae. The record is from the annotation of a GenBank genome assembly.